UGGCAGUGGAAACUGAAAGGCUUGAGUAUGGUAGGGGCAGAGGGAAUUCCCGGUGUAGCGGUGAAAUGCGUAGAUAUCGGGAAGAACACCAGUGGCGAAGGCGCUCUGCUGGGCCAUUACUGACGCUCAUGGACGAAAGCCAGGGGAGCGAAAGGGAUUAGAUACCCCUGUAGUCCUGGCCGUAAACGAUGAACACUAGGUGUCGGGGGAAUCGACCCCUUCGGUGUCGUAGCUAACGCGUUAAGUGUUCCGCCUGGGGAGUACGCACGCAAGUGUGAAACUCAAAGGAAUUGACGGGGGCCCGCACAAGCGGUGGAGUAUGUGGUUUAAUUCGAUGCAACGCGAAGAACCUUACCAGGGUUUGACAUCCUGCGAACCUCUUAGAAAUUUGAGGGUGCCUUCGGGAAUGCAGUGACAGGUGGUGCAUGGCUGUCGUCAGCUCGUGUCGUGAGAUGUUGGGUUAAGUCCCGCAACGAGCGCAACCCACGUUUUUAGUUGCCAGCAUUUAGUUGGGCACUCUAGAAAGACCGCCGGUGAUAAACCGGAGGAAGGUGUGGAUGACGUCAAGUCAUCAUGCCCCUUACACCCUGGGCUACACACGUACUACAAUGCUACGGACAAAGGGCAGCAAACUCGCGAGAGCUAGCAAAUCCCAUAAACCGUGGCUCAGUUCAGAUCGUAGGCUGCAACUCGCCUACGUGAAGUAGGAAUCGCUAGUAAUCGCAGGUCAGCAUACUGCGGUGAAUACGUUCCCGGGCCUUGUACACACCGCCCGUCACACCAUGGAAGUUGGCCAUGCCCGAAGUCGUUACUCCAACCCUUGUGGAGGAGGACGCCGAAGGUGGGGCUAAUGACUGGGGUGAAGUCGUAACAAGGUAACCGUA
Molecule: ribosomal RNA, 884 nt
Filed under: uncultured bacterium
Lineage: Bacteria
Description: bacterial SSU rRNA
Rfam family: Bacterial small subunit ribosomal RNA
Source: RNAcentral